RNAcentral lists this ribosomal RNA (516 nucleotides) under uncultured bacterium. RNAcentral describes it as "bacterial SSU rRNA". It matches the Rfam family "Bacterial small subunit ribosomal RNA", at positions 9 to 526 of the family's 1533-position model. The record is from RNAcentral.
GAGUUUGAUCCUGGCUCAGGAUGAACGCUGGCGGCGUGCUUAACACAUGCAAGUCGAACGGGAAACCUUUUAUUGAAGCUUCGGCAGAUUUAGCUGGUUUCUAGUGGCGGACGGGUGAGUAACGCGUGGGUAACCUGCCUUAUACAGGGGGAUAACAGUCAGAAAUGACUGCUAAUACCGCAUAAGCGCACAGAGCUGCAUGGCUCGGUGCGAAAAACUCCGGUGGUAUAAGAUGGACCCGCGUUGGAUUAGCUAGUUGGUGAGGUAACGGCCCACCAAGGCGACGAUCCAUAGCCGACCUGAGAGGGUGACCGGCCACAUUGGGACUGAGACACGGCCCAAACUCCUACGGGAGGCAGCAGUGGGGAAUAUUGCACAAUGGGCGAAAGCCUGAUGCAGCGACGCCGCGUGAGCGAAGAAGUAUUUCGGUAUGUAAAGCUCUAUCAGCAGGGAAGAAAAUGACGGUACCUGACUAAGAAGCACCGGCUAAAUACGUGCCAGCCGCCGCGGUAAUUC